ACUCAAAGGAAUAGACGGGGGCCCGCACAAGCGGUGGAGCAUGUGGUUUAAUUCGAUGCAACGCGAAGAACCUUACCUACUCUUGAAUCCACGGAAGUCUGCAGAGAUGCGGAUGUGCCUUCGGGAACCGUGAGACAGGUGCUGCAUGGCUGUCGUCAGCUCGUGUCGUGAGAUGUUGGGUUAAGUCCCGUAACGAGCGCAACCCUUGUCCUUAGUUACUAACGAGUUAAGUCGAGGACUCUAAGGAGACUGCCGGUGAUAAACUGGAGGAAGGUGGGGACGAUGUCAAGUCAUCAUGGCCCUUACGAGUAGGGCUACACACGUGCUACAAUGGUCGGUACAAAAGGUUGCGAAGUCGCGAGACGGAGCCAAUCCCAAAAAACCGAUCUUAGUCCGGAUUGGAGUCUGCAACUCGACUCCAUGAAGCUGGAAUCGCUAGUAAUCGUAGAUCAGAACGCUACGGUGAAUACGUUCUCGGGCCUUGUACACACCGCCCGU
Molecule: ribosomal RNA, 498 nt
Filed under: uncultured bacterium
Lineage: Bacteria
Description: partial 16S ribosomal RNA
Rfam family: Bacterial small subunit ribosomal RNA
Source: RNAcentral